This is a non-coding RNA of Coffea arabica (coffee), 1310 nucleotides long. Lineage: Eukaryota; Viridiplantae; Streptophyta; Magnoliopsida; Gentianales; Rubiaceae. The record is from RefSeq and is a predicted model, not a curated record.
GGCCUCGAGUCGGCAGAAGUGAUCAGGGGUAGGAGGAAAGGAAGAUGCCUUGGAAAAUCCAGAGGAAAUGUGAGGAAUUCAUAAAAGAGAGAGAGUAGUCGAUGAUCACAUUUGUAUCGCAAGAAGAGGAGGAAUGAGAGGGAAAGGGAGCUUAAUCUUCAGGAAAUUGGUGGGGUGGGAGACUGGGGAAGAUUUGAGGUAAAUCUUUGGUUCUUUUAUGUUUUGAGCGAUCAAAUCUUGAUCUAACCCAGUCUUCCACCCCAGUGAUUUUCUGUGGAUUCUCCUCUUCCACAACUUAUUCUACAGGCUCAGAUCUCUCUCGGAUUCAGAACUUAGUAAUUGCUUACUAAGUCAUAAGCCUACCAGGGACUAAGGGCUCCUCCUCUGCAUGAUUGAGGAAGUUGCAACUUUUACAUUCUACUGAAUCUAGAUGUGAUCUCUCAUCAGAUCAAAGGAGCACUACAAGGAUUGCAUAAAAUAACUGAAGCCCGAUAAGAUUUUGUCAACUUUAUUUGGUGGCUUUUGUUUUUGUUUUUGUUUUUUUUUGAAUGGUAUAGAAGCAUUACUGGUUUUUUUUUGUUUUGUUUUGUUUUGUUUUGUUUUUAGGGUGGGCCGCGGGGAGGGGGGGGGUUGUUGUUGUUGUUGUUGGAUCUUUCUAGGAUCAAUCUGCAAAACAGCAGAGGUAUCAAACACUUAACCUGAGCUUGAUGAUCAAAUGGGCAUGUGAAACGAGAAAAUCCAGUUAAUCCGCAAUCCUUUCUCAUCUGUUUUUGAAGACAAUAAAAUAAACUAUUAACACAGUCAAUGAAUUUGGGUUUGGUUUUGAUGGAAGACAGAAAUGGAAAUCUAAGCCAAGAUUAACGACAAUAACACGUUUUGGUUCUCAACAAUUAGAUUACCGCAAAACGACCCAAUCUGGAAUGAAAUUAGUUAACUGAAAUAAAUUUGUUCUUGCAUUGUGUGCCAACGUUCACAUAUAGUUUAUCAAGAUGUGAAGCACUCGGUUUGGUCCGGAAGAUCAAGAUCCUGUAAGAUGGAGCCGCCUUCUAGGCUUGCAUCCGGAGACUAAAACCUGGCCAAGAAAAACAAUGUACUUGUUUGUACCGUGAAUUAUUAGAGAUAUUUUUAUUGUAGCAUUUUUUGUGAUGUGAUGUAUGUGAGAUAAAAAGAUAAUUGAAAAAAUAAAAAGGUGUGUUAAAAAUUGUAAUGAUGAUGUAAGUAAAUAUAUUUUGAUAAAUAAAUUGUAAUUCAAAAAAAUUAAAUUGUGAUUUAUUUGUAUUAAUGACAUGACUACGAAAUUUUUUGACAUC